AGUGAACGCUGGCGGUAGGCCUAACACAUGCAAGUCGAACGGCAGCACAGUAAGAGCUUGCUCUUACGGGUGGCGAGUGGCGGACGGGUGAGGAAUACAUCGGAAUCUACUUUUUCGUGGGGGAUAACGAAGGGAAACUUACGCUAAUACCGCAUACGACCUACGGGGGAAAGGAGGGGAUCUUCGGACCUUGCGCGAUUGAAUGAGCCGAUGUCGGGUUAGCUAGUUGGCGGGGUAAAGGCCCACCAAGGCGACGAUCCGUAGCGCGUCUGGGAGGAUGAUCGGCCACACUGGAACUGAGACACGGUCCAGACUCCUACGGGAGGCAGCAGUGGGGAAUAUUGGACAAUGGGCGCAAGCCUGAUCCAGCCAUACCGCGUGGGUGAAGAAGGCCUUCGGGUUGUAAAGCCCUUUUGUUGGGAAAGAACAGCAGCCGGUUAAUACCCCGCUGUUCUGACGGUACCCAAAGAGUAAGCACCGGCUAACUUCGUG
Molecule: ribosomal RNA, 492 nt
Filed under: uncultured bacterium
Lineage: Bacteria
Description: partial 16S ribosomal RNA
Rfam family: Bacterial small subunit ribosomal RNA
Source: RNAcentral